GUGUCAGCAGCCGCGGUAAUACGUAGGGGGCAAGCGUUGUCCGGAAUCAUUGGGCGUAAAGCGCGUGUAGGCGGCUGGCUAAGUCCGCUCUGAAAGCCCGGGGCUCAACCCCGGGAGGCGGGUGGAUACUGGUCAGCUCGAGUCCGGAAGAGGAGUGUGGAAUUCCUGGUGUAGCGGUGAAAUGCGCAGAUAUCAGGAGGAACACCAAUGGCGAAGGCAGCACUCUGGGACGGUACUGACGCUGAGACGCGAAAGCGUGGGGAGCAAACAGGAUUAGAUACCCCUGUAGUCC
This 292-nucleotide ribosomal RNA is filed under the name uncultured bacterium. RNAcentral describes it as "partial 16S ribosomal RNA". It matches the Rfam family "Bacterial small subunit ribosomal RNA", at positions 505 to 796 of the family's 1533-position model. The record is from RNAcentral.